UGGGGAAUAUUGCACAAUGGGCGAAAGCCUGAUGCAGCGACGCCGCGUGAGGGAUGACGGCCUUCGGGUUGUAAACCUCUUUCAGUAGGGACGAAGCGCAAGUCACGGUACCUGCAGAAGAAGCACCGGCUAACUACGUGCCAGCAGCCGCGGUAAUACGUAGGGUGCGAGCGUUGUCCGGAAUUACUGGGCGUAAAGAGCUCGUAGGCGGUUUGUCACGUCGUCUGUGAAAUCCUAGGGCUUAACCCUGGACGUGCAGGCGAUACGGGCUGACUUGAGUACUACAGGGGAGACUGGAAUUUCUGGUGUAGCGGUGGAAUGCACAGAUAUCAGGAAGAACACCGAUGGCGAAGGCAGGUCUCUGGGUAGUAACUGACGCUGAGGAGCGAAAGCAUGGGUAGCGAACAGG
Molecule: ribosomal RNA, 409 nt
Filed under: bacterium
Lineage: Bacteria
Description: partial 16S ribosomal RNA
Rfam family: Bacterial small subunit ribosomal RNA
Source: RNAcentral